GCCAAAAAAGUAUAAGCAUAAAGCUGAAAACUUUAAGGACCUGGCGGUACUCAAUACCAACCUAGAGGGGCCUGUCCAAUAAUCGAUAAUCCACGAAAAACCUAACCCCUUCUAGCCACAUACAGUCUAUAUACCGCCGUCGAAAGCACAUCUUACAAGAGAUGCAGCAAAAAGUUCUACCACAAGCACGUCAGGUCAAGGUGUAGCACAUGAAGGGGGUGAGAUUGGCCACACUACCACACCA
Molecule: ribosomal RNA, 244 nt
Filed under: Calotes sp. sk04cp15
Lineage: Eukaryota; Metazoa; Chordata; Lepidosauria; Squamata; Agamidae
Description: partial 12S ribosomal RNA
Source: RNAcentral